This 248-nucleotide ribosomal RNA is filed under the name uncultured bacterium. RNAcentral describes it as "partial 16S ribosomal RNA". It matches the Rfam family "Bacterial small subunit ribosomal RNA", at positions 796 to 1041 of the family's 1533-position model. The record is from RNAcentral.
CACGCCGUAAACGAUGAGUGCUGGGUGUUGCGGGUAUUGACCCCCGCGGUGCCGAAGCCAACGCGUUAAGCACUCCGCCUGGGAAGUACGGCCGCAAGGCUAAAACUCAAAGGAAUUGACGGGGGCCCGCACAAGCGGUGGAGCAUGUGGUUUAAUUCGACGCAACGCGAAGAACCUUACCCGGGCUCGAAAAUGGCGGAACCCGUCCGAAAGGGCGGGGUGCCCGCAAGGGAGCCGUUAUCAGGUGC